This 252-nucleotide ribosomal RNA is filed under the name uncultured bacterium. Its description in RNAcentral is "partial 16S ribosomal RNA". It matches the Rfam family "Bacterial small subunit ribosomal RNA", at positions 525 to 776 of the family's 1533-position model. The record is from RNAcentral.
ACGGAGGGUGCGAGCGUUGUUCGGAAUUAUUGGGCGUAAAGCGCGUGUAGGCGGCUUGGUAAGUCGGGUGUGAAAGCCCGGGGCCCAACCCCGGAACUGCAUUCGAUACUGCCUCGCUAGAGUCCCGGAGAGGAGAGCGGAAUUCCCGGUGUAGAGGUGAAAUUCGUAGAUAUCGGGAGGAACACCAGCGGCGAAGGCGGCUCUCUGGACGGUGACUGACGCUGAGACGCGAAAGCGUGGGGAGCAAACAGG